RNAcentral lists this ribosomal RNA (492 nucleotides) under uncultured bacterium. RNAcentral describes it as "partial 16S ribosomal RNA". It matches the Rfam family "Bacterial small subunit ribosomal RNA", at positions 29 to 507 of the family's 1533-position model. The record is from RNAcentral.
AGUGAACGCUGGCGGUAGGCCUAACACAUGCAAGUCGAACGGCAGCACAGUAAGAGCUUGCUCUUACGGGUGGCGAGUGGCGGACGGGUGAGGAAUACAUCGGAAUCUACUUUUUCGUGGGGGAUCACGUAGGGAAACUUACGCUAAUACCGCAUACGACCUACGGGUGAAAGCAGGGGAUCUUCGGACCUUGCGCGAUUGAAUGCGCCGAUGUCGGAUUAGCUAGUUGGCGGGGUAAAGGCCCACCAAGGCGACGAUCCGUAGCUGGUCUGAGAGGAUGAUCAGCCACACUGGAACUGAGACACGGUCCAGACUCCUACGGGAGGCAGCAGUGGGGAAUAUUGGACAAUGGGCGCAAGCCUGAUCCAGCCAUACCGCGUGGGUGAAGAAGGCCUUCGGGUUGUAAAGCCCUUUUGUUGGGAAAGAAAAGCAGCAGGUUAAUACCCCGCUGUUCUGACGGUACCCAAAGAAUAAGCACCGGCUAACUUCGUG